Molecule: long non-coding RNA, 1008 nt
Organism: Oncorhynchus tshawytscha (Chinook salmon)
Lineage: Eukaryota; Metazoa; Chordata; Actinopteri; Salmoniformes; Salmonidae
Source: Ensembl
GGAGAGGUCUGUCUGUAAUAAAGAGAUGGGGAGAGGUCUGUCUGUAGUAAAGAGAUGGGGAGAGGUCUGUCUGUAGUAAAGAGAUGGGGAGAGGUCUGUCUGUAGUAAAGAGAUGGGGAGAGGUCUGUCUGUAAUAAAGAGAUGGGGAGAGGUCUGGCUGUGACAAAGAGAUGGGGAGAGGUCUGUCUGUAAUAAAGAGAUGGGGAGAGGUCUGGCUGUGACAAAGAGAUGGGGAGAGGUCUGUCUGUGAUAAAGAGAUGGGGAGAGGUCUGUCUGUAAUAAAGAGAUGGGGGAGGUCUGUCUGUGACAAAGAGAUGGGGAGAGGUCUGUCUGUAAUAAAGAGAUGGGGAGAGGUCUGGCUGUGACAAAGAGAUGGGGAGAGGUCUGUCUGUAAUAAAGAGAUGGGGAGAGGUCUGUCUGUAAUAAAGAGAUGGGGAGAGGUCUGUCUGUAAUAAAGAGAUGGGGAGAGGUCUGUCUGUAAUAAAGAGAUGGGGAGAGGUCUGUCUGUAAUAAAGAGAUGGGGAGAGGUCUGUCUGUAAUAAAGAGAUGGGGAGAGGUCUGUCUGUAAUAAAGAGAUGGGGAGAGGUCUGUCUGUAAUAAAGAGAUGGGGAGAGGUCUGUCUGUAAUAAAGAGAAGGGGAGAGGUCUGGCCGUAAUAAAGAGAUGGGGAGAGGUCUGUCUGUAGUAAAGAGAUGGGGAGAGGUCUAGCCAUAACACAGAGAUGGGGAGAGGUCUGUCUGUAAUAAAGAGAUGGGGAGAGGUCUGUGUGUAAUAAAGAGAUGGGGAGAGAUCUGUCUGUAAUAAAGAGAUGGGGAGAGGUCUGUCUGUAAUAAAGAGAUGGGGAGAGGUCUGUCUGUAAUAAAGAGAUGGGGAGAGGUCUAGCCACAACACAGAGAUGGGGAGAGGUCUGUCUGUAAUAAAGAGAUGGGGAGAGGUCUGUCUGUAUUAAAGAGAUGGGGAGAGGUCUGUCUGUAAUAAAGAGAUGGGGAGAGGUCUGUCUGUAAUAAAG